AAAGUCGUAACAAGGUCUCCGUAGGUGAACCUGCGGAGGGAUCAUUACACAAAUAUGAAAGCAGGCCAAAUAAGCCCUUGUACUGCACUUGCAGUGGGAGGGAUGAUGGCCUGGCUCCAUAUCCACCCAUGUCUUUUUGCGUACUACCUGUUUCCUUGGCGAGCUCGCUCGCCAAUUGGACCCCCAACCAAACCUUUUUUUGCAAUUGUAAUCAGCGUCAGAUAACACAAAUGUAAUAAAUUACAACUUUCAACAACGGAUCUCUUGGUUCUG
This 273-nucleotide unclassified non-coding RNA is filed under the name Ascomycota sp. Its description in RNAcentral is "partial contains small subunit ribosomal RNA, internal transcribed spacer 1, and 5.8S ribosomal RNA". The stretch from base 1 to 47 matches the Rfam family "Eukaryotic small subunit ribosomal RNA", at positions 1785 to 1831 of the family's 1831-position model. Lineage: Eukaryota; Fungi; Ascomycota. The record is from RNAcentral.